GAUGAAGAACGCAGCGAAAUGCGAUAAGUAAUGUGAAUUGCAGAAUUCAGUGAAUCAUCGAAUCUUUGAACGCAUCUUGCGCUCCUUGGUAUUCCUUGGAGCAUGCCUGUUUGAGUAUCAUGAGCAAAUCUCAAAGUCAAUUCCUUUUGUUGAUUCAAUUGGUUUUGCUUUGGACUUGGAGGCCUUGCAGAUUUCACAGUCUGCUCCUCUUAAAUGCAUUAGCUGGAUCUCAGUAAUUAUGCUUAGUUCCACUCGGCGUGAUAAGUAUCACUCGCUGAGGACACUGUUAAAAAGGUGGCCAGGAAAAUACUGAUUGAACCGCUUCUAACGGUCUAUUAAGUUAGACAAUUACCCUUAAGUUUGAUCUCAAAUCAGGUAGGACUACCCGCUGAACUUAAGCAUAUCAAUAAGCGGAGGA
RNAcentral lists this unclassified non-coding RNA (418 nucleotides) under soil metagenome. RNAcentral's name for it is "partial contains 5.8S ribosomal RNA, internal transcribed spacer 2, and large subunit ribosomal RNA". The stretch from base 1 to 120 matches the Rfam family "5.8S ribosomal RNA", at positions 35 to 154 of the family's 154-position model. The record is from RNAcentral.